This 327-nucleotide unclassified non-coding RNA is filed under the name Haliotis rubra (blacklip abalone). RNAcentral describes it as "uncharacterized LOC124289976, transcript variant X2". The record is from RNAcentral. Lineage: Eukaryota; Metazoa; Mollusca; Gastropoda; Lepetellida; Haliotidae.
CUGGUGAUAAGAAGUAUCAUACUUUCACUGCAGAAUGUUGUUACUGCUUCUGUGCUCCUUGUUGUGUGGAGCAGCGUUGGCUGACACAACCGUCAUAAUCUACAACGAGUGGCUCUCCCAGGGUGGACGUGUCAAUUAUGAAGUUGAACGAUGGAACAACGUUAAUGCACUCACCCAAAUGAACCUGAUUCCAAAGAUGAAAUCUAUCGGAGCGGUUUCUGGGCGUUGGGUAAACAGAGACCUGAGAAAAGGUCUCUUUGCAAAUGUAACGUCUACUACCAAAUCGCCGAAUGAAAUCUAAGCAUAGGCGGAUUCCUUGUUUCCUUG